CCUACGGGAGGCAGCAGUGAGGAAUAUUGGUCAAUGGACGGAAGUCUGAACCAGCCAUGCCGCGUGCAGGAAGACGGCUCUAUGAGUUGUAAACUGCUUUUGUACAAGGGUAAACCUGAAUACGUGUAUUCAGCUGAACGUACUUUACGAAUAAGGAUCGGCUAACUCCGUGCCAGCAGCCGCGGUAAUCCGGAGGAUCCAAGCGUUAUCCGGAUUUAUUGGGGUUAAAGGGUGCGUAGGCGGAUUGAUAAGUUAGAGGUGAAAGGUUCGAGCUUAACUCGGGAACUGCCUCUAAUACUGUUGAUCUAGAGAGUAGAUGCGGUAGGCGGAAUGUAUGGUGUAGCGGUGAAAUGCUUAGAGAUCAUACAGAACACCGAUGGCGAAGGCAGCUUACCAAGCUAUAUCUGACGUUGAGGCACGAAAGCGUGGGGAGCAAACAGGAUUAGAUACCCCUGUAGUC
Molecule: ribosomal RNA, 460 nt
Filed under: uncultured bacterium
Lineage: Bacteria
Description: partial 16S ribosomal RNA
Rfam family: Bacterial small subunit ribosomal RNA
Source: RNAcentral